Molecule: long non-coding RNA, 474 nt
Filed under: Panax ginseng (ginseng)
Lineage: Eukaryota; Viridiplantae; Streptophyta; Magnoliopsida; Apiales; Araliaceae
Description: long non-coding RNA (PGIN_LNC013031)
Source: RNAcentral
UUUAGCUAAAAAGACACUUAUUAGUAUAUAGGAAAUUAAAUGGAGCAAGUACAUGAUGAAAACCAGUCUUCAACAAAACCCUAGCUAGGGCCGGCAUGAGUUGGAACAUAUAUAGAAAUCGAUCCUCUGUUUUAUUUUAUUCAAAUAUAGUAACUUCAUACACUAAUCCAAGUAUGUUAUUAUAAACACAUAUGGGAUACAUGCAUGGAUGUUUUGUAUAUGAUUAUUCCUAGUCUAGGCCUUUCAAUUAAGAUGGGGCCUCAUUUUAUUUUUCCCAUUGCUUUUAGUUUCUUCGGCGUCAAGGCAGCAACUUUCCCUUCGCCAUAUUGAAAGUCAUAUUUUUAAUGACCUCCUCCUUUAUCACCCCCUCCGCCGCCGCCGCCACCACCACCUCCGCCUCCCUUAUGGUCUCCUCCUCCUUGGUGACCGCUGCCAUCUCCUCCCUUGCCACCUCCAUGGUGAUCGCCAUCUNNN